UGUCGACGGCCAUACCACCCUGAACGCACCCGAUUUCUUCUAAUCUUGGAAGCUAAGCAGGGUCGGGCUUGGUUAGUACUUGGAUGGGAGAAAUGCUUGCUUUAUCACAA
This is a ribosomal RNA of Otolemur garnettii (small-eared galago), 110 nucleotides long. The record is from Ensembl. NCBI's taxonomy places the organism in Eukaryota, Metazoa, Chordata, Mammalia, Primates, Galagidae.